CUUUAGCCCCGAUAGAAGUGAAAAUCCUUAUGUGCCGGGGUUCGGCACAUAAGAUUGUAACGGAUAGCGGGAACCCAU
RNAcentral lists this small RNA (78 nucleotides) under Flavobacterium sp. 103. RNAcentral's name for it is "Flavo-1 RNA". It matches the Rfam family "Flavo-1 RNA". Lineage: Bacteria; Pseudomonadati; Bacteroidota; Flavobacteriia; Flavobacteriales; Flavobacteriaceae. The record is from RNAcentral.